UGGGGAAUUUUGGACAAUGGGCGAAAGCCUGAUCCAGCAAUGCCGCGUGUGUGAAGAAGGCCUUCGGGUUGUAAAGCACUUUUGUCCGGAAAGAAAUCCUUGGCUCUAAUACAGUCGGGGGAUGACGGUACCGGAAGAAUAAGCACCGGCUAACUACGUGCCAGCAGCCGCGGUAAUACGUAGGGUGCAAGCGUUAAUCGGAAUUACUGGGCGUAAAGCGUGCGCAGGCGGUUUGCUAAGACCGAUGUGAAAUCCCCGGGCUCAACCUGGGAACUGCAUUGGUGACUGGCAGGCUAGAGUAUGGCAGAGGGGGGUAGAAUUCCACGUGUAGCAGUGAAAUGCGUAGAGAUGUGGAGGAAUACCGACGGCGAAGGCAGCCCCCUGGGCCAAUACUGACGCUCAUGCACGAAAGCGUGGGGAGCAAACAGGAUUAGAUACCCUGGUAGUCCACGCCCUAAACGAUGUCAACUAGUUGUUGGGGAUUCAUUUCCUUAGUAACGUAGCUAACGCGUGAAGUUGACCGCCUGGGGAGUACGGUCGCAAGAUUAAAACUCAAAGGAAUUGACGGGGU
Molecule: ribosomal RNA, 571 nt
Filed under: uncultured bacterium
Lineage: Bacteria
Description: partial 16S ribosomal RNA
Rfam family: Bacterial small subunit ribosomal RNA
Source: RNAcentral